CUCUGGGUGGUGCAAAAGGUUAACAUGCUUGGCUGCUAACCAAAAGGUUGAAGGUUGGAGUCCACCCAGAGA
This 72-nucleotide transfer RNA is filed under the name Loxodonta africana (African savanna elephant). It matches the Rfam family "tRNA". From Rfam's summary of the family: Transfer RNA (tRNA) molecules are approximately 80 nucleotides in length. Their secondary structure includes four short double-helical elements and three loops (D, anti-codon, and T loops). Lineage: Eukaryota; Metazoa; Chordata; Mammalia; Proboscidea; Elephantidae. The record is from Rfam by way of RNAcentral.